RNAcentral lists this ribosomal RNA (408 nucleotides) under Aegla manuinflata. RNAcentral's name for it is "partial 16S ribosomal RNA". The record is from RNAcentral. Lineage: Eukaryota; Metazoa; Arthropoda; Malacostraca; Decapoda; Aeglidae.
CAUUUGUUUUUUAAUUGAAGACUUGUAUGAAUGGCUGAACGAGAAAAUAACUGUCUCUUUUAAAAAUCUUGAAUUUUACCUUUAAGUGAAAAGGCUUAAAUAAAUUUAGGGGACGAUAAGACCCUAUAAAUCUUUAUAUUAUUUUUCUUUAAAUUUCAAAUUAUAUAUUAAAAGAAAUAAAAGAAAAAAAUAUUAUAUUGGGGAGAUAAGAAUAUAAUUUUUAACUGUUUUAAAAAUAAAACAAUAAUUUUUGAUUAAAAAAAUUGAUCCUUUUUAAAGAUUUGAAGAUUAAGUUACUUUAGGGAUAACAGCGUAAUUUUUUUUGAGAGUUCUUAUCGAAAAAAAAGUUUGCGACCUCGAUGUUGAAUUAAAAUAUCCUUAUAAGUGCAGAAGCUAUAAAAAAGGAAA